Molecule: ribosomal RNA, 406 nt
Filed under: uncultured bacterium
Lineage: Bacteria
Description: partial 16S ribosomal RNA
Rfam family: Bacterial small subunit ribosomal RNA
Source: RNAcentral
AUUGAACGCUGGCGGCAGGCCUAACACAUGCAAGUCGAGCGAGUGGCGGACGGGUGAGUAAUGUAUGGGAAUCUGCCUGAUGGAGGGGGAUAACUACUGGAAACGGUAGCUAAUACCGCAUACCAUCAGAUGUGCCCAAAUGGGAUUAGCUUGUAGGUGGGGUAACGGCUCACCUAGGCGACGAUCCCUAGCUGGUCUGAGAGGAUGACCAGCCACACUGGGACUGAGACACGGCCCAGACUCCUACGGGAGGCAGCAGUGGGGAAUAUUGCACAAUGGGCGCAAGCCUGAUGCAGCCAUGCCGCGUGUAUGAAGAAGGCCUUCGGGUUGUAAAGUACUUUCAGUCGGGAGGCGUUACCCACAGAAGAAGCACCGGCUAACUCCGUGCCAGCCGCCGCGGUAAUAC